RNA transcript from Ornithodoros turicata, 2503 nucleotides. RefSeq lists it as uncharacterized. Lineage: Eukaryota; Metazoa; Arthropoda; Arachnida; Ixodida; Argasidae. The transcript is spliced from 27 exons. The record is from RefSeq and is a predicted model, not a curated record.
UCCUGAUCCCGUACGUCUCUUUGGCCAUACCUUGGUCACCCUUCCAGGAUAAAAGGAAGACGACAACCAGACAGAGCACGCGUCGACUGAUCGGUUUCUCCACUGCGUUCCGUUCCACAGCGUCUGAAAGCAAACAUGUCGCUGAAGGACUUGGCGUAUAUGGGCAGAAAAGUCACGUGGCGUCCCCAGCUCUUUGCAGGCUAUAAUCUGAGCAACGACUCGGACGCAUGGAACCGGAAAGGGCAAGAAACCUUACGCAGACAGGACGAUGAUUCCCUCUUGUCCGGUUGGUACGACGUCAUCAGUUGGUUCCUCAACUUUAUCCUGGCAAACCCCAGGGACGCACUCUUUCUGCGCCAGUUUGGUGGUGGCGUCGACAUGAUUGAGAUCAUGGACAAGUAUUUCACGUACGAACCGAAAGUAUUCGUCAUGUACGUAACUGGUUUUGCGUACAGUAUCCUGGGCCUGUUCGGCAGCGUUGCGUAUAUUCAGCUGAGGCGCAGGAAGCGCUGUGGCGGAGAUCGAACCCAGGACCUGACGGAAAACAUGCGUUGUCUUCUUAGUGUUUACACUGGCAUCUACAUCCUCCUCUUGGCCGGCAUACUAAUGGGUUCUCUCCUGAUGAUGGGAUCCUUGUUUGAAAUGAGCCGUGCCAUCAAGAGCGAAGGACAAGUUGGAUUUGAAGCACGCAUUGAUGAAGUCGGCUUGUACAUCAAAAAUGCUUCCAAGCACACACAGGAACUGAACAACAUGAGAAAACAUUUCUUCGACGACCUCACCAAUACGCUGCUCCAGAAUUUCCAGCCUGAAAUGUCCAAGUUCCUGUUACCUAUUGUGCAAGGCUACACCGAAAAUUUCACUUCCCCGACACAUCCACGUGCACUCUUGCGAGCACUCGACAUACCGAAAGAUGACUUUGAUAUGGAGGCCCAAACGUCUACCGAUUAUAAAUCAGCAUUGCAAGAAAAUUUUACACAGCUCAUUUCCGAGCGCAUUAACGAGCAGUACAAUGCAACCAUAGUUGAGGCAGGACAUCUAUCUCACAGUGCGUCCAGUCUUCUUAUUCGAUUUAAUGCGUUUCUCCAAGCAGAUGCAAACCACACUAUCCGAAGUAUGGGGGCCAUCCCUCGUAGGGUGCAGGAUGCCGACUCGUGGAAGGUGCUCGACACUCUGCAGAACAAGAGCGUUUAUUACGUUGUCGUCGUGCUGAUCGCCUUCAUCAUCCUCUUCACCAUGUACACGGGAGCCUUCAUCACGGGAAUGUUUCACCAUAACGAAUUUCUGGCGCCUACAAAACGAUCCAACUAUUCGAAUUUCGCCGGACUCGUCAUGGUCGGUGCCAUCGCUAUAUCAUUCCCCGUGUGUGCCUUGCUUAUGGUCAUGACCACUGUGAUUAUGGUGCUGAGUGUGACGCUCACCAAUUACGUCUGUCUUCCGUACGACAAAAUCGUCUACGGGGAGGCUGACGAACCUAUUCAACAAGUGUCUCUGCUAGAUGAUACCUUCUCUGUAUUUUGGCCAGAACAAGAGCGUGGAAAGUGGUUCGGAAAAUUCUUGGCAGGCACUACGUUGUGGAAAUGCAACGGUGGCCGACUCUUCGACGUCAUUCACAACGACUUCGACACUGGCAUCCACUCUUUCAUCAACAAAACGGAGAACCUGCACCAUCUUCUGUCGUCCUUAGCUGUGGAUCCUCGCAGGAUACUCGAUGAUCCAUCCCCCUAUAUUGCUCAACAGGACUUUGACAUACUGAAGGCAAUGAUGUGGGGCCACCUCGAGAAUAUAGUUGAGAGGUUUGGCGAUGAGAAAGUUCAACAGAUUCGUAGCAGAGAUCUCGACAUGGAUGUGGUGAACCCACCCUGCUUCGCCGCUUACAAAGGAUACGAAAGAGGUUUUCGCUACGCCUGCCAUGGCUUGAUUCGCAAUAUCAACGCCUUCUGGACAGCCCUGGGUUUCUGCGUGUGGAUGUUCACCAUUCUGGCUAUUGUGUCUCACAACCUGUCGAAAUAUUUUCUCCGCAUGGUUAACUACACUUUCGACGGCUCCGAAGUGGAAUCGACAUCGUCGUCAUCAACAGCCCCGGGAGAGGCAACAGCAGAGACCAAGUCUGAGGAAAAAGUGCCGUUGGUACCUGAGCCUGCACCAGCUUCAACCGGCGAAAAAGCAGCGUUGAGUCCAGAGUCACCAGAACCGGGGGGGCCACCACGAAAACAAAGUGAAGAUGUCGUCAAGAAAGAGGUCAAGAAGGAAGCAGAACCCACUGCCAUGCCAAAAUGGAUGCAAAAGGCUCGAAAGGCUUAGGUGAGCUGUACGUACACCUUUCGAUGUACCUUUGUUUCCUGCACCUUACAGAAAAAGUACAGCCGCCAUGAACGCUUCCAGUUCCAGAAUCCGGGAGUAAAUUAGGACCCUCCGAUGGCGUUCUUCAAACAGGCUAACGUCAUUCCGAUGUGAUGCCAGGAUAGGAUGAAAUAUAUAGCUGCAUUAAACAGUCUCUCGCGAA